UGGCAGAGCCCGGAAAUUGCNUAAAACUUAAANCUUUAUACUCAGAGGUUCAACUCCUCUCCCUAACA
Molecule: transfer RNA, 68 nt
Filed under: Equus sp.
Lineage: Eukaryota; Metazoa; Chordata; Mammalia; Perissodactyla; Equidae
Description: partial tRNA-Leu
Rfam family: tRNA
About the family: Transfer RNA (tRNA) molecules are approximately 80 nucleotides in length. Their secondary structure includes four short double-helical elements and three loops (D, anti-codon, and T loops).
Source: RNAcentral